Non-coding RNA from Morus notabilis, 101 nucleotides. Lineage: Eukaryota; Viridiplantae; Streptophyta; Magnoliopsida; Rosales; Moraceae. The record is from Rfam.
AAAUGAUAAAGGUGUUGGCGCGGCUCAAUCUAAAUACAUGGUUAAACACGAGUAUUAGCCAUGUGAUUUGAUUGAGCCGCGUCAAUAUCUCCUUUAAUUAU